UAGGGAAUCUUCGGCAAUGGGGGGAACCCUGACCGAGCAACGCCGCGUGAGUGAAGAAGGUUCUCGGAUCGUAAAGCUCUGUUGUUAAGGAAGAACGAGUGUGAGAAUGGAAAGUUCAUACUGUGACGGUACUUAACCAGAAAGGGACGGCUAACUACGUGCCAGCAGCCGCGGUAAUACGUAGGUCCCGAGCGUUGUCCGGAUUUAUUGGGCGUAAAGCGAGCGCAGGCGGUUAGAUAAGUCUGAAGUUAAAGGCAGUGGCUCAACCAUUGUAGGCUUUGGAAACUGUUUAACUUGAGUGCAGAAGGGGAGAGUGGAAUUCCAUGUGUAGCGGUGAAAUGCGUAGAUAUAUGGAGGAACACCGGUGGCGAAAGCGGCUCUCUGGUCUGUAACUGACGCUGAGGCUCGAAAGCGUGGGGAGCGAACAGG
Molecule: ribosomal RNA, 429 nt
Filed under: Bacteroidota bacterium
Lineage: Bacteria; Pseudomonadati; Bacteroidota
Description: Bacteroidetes bacterium partial 16S ribosomal RNA
Rfam family: Bacterial small subunit ribosomal RNA
Source: RNAcentral